CCUACGGGAGGCAGCAGUGAGGAAUAUUGGUCAAUGGACGAGAGUCUGAACCAGCCACGUAGCGUGAAGGAUGACUGCCCUCUGGGCUGUAAACUUCUUUUAUAUGGGAGUAAACAGGGUAUGCAUACCCUCUUGUCUGUACCAUAUGAAUAAGGAUCGGCCAACUCUGUGAAAGCAGCCGCGGUAAGACGGAGGGUCCGAGCGUUAUCCGGAUUUAUGUGGUUUAAAGGGAGCGUAGGUGGAUUGUUAAGUCAGUUGUGAAAGUUUGCGGCUCAACCGUAAACUUGCAGUUGAAACUGGCAGUCUUGAGUGCAGAAGAGGUGAGCGGAAGUCGUGGUGUAGCGGUGAAAUGCUUAGAUAUCACGAGGAACUCCGAUGGCGAAGGCAGCUCACUGGACUGCAACUGACACUGAUGCUCGAAAGUGUGGGUAUCAAACAGGUUUAGAUACCCCAGUAGUC
Molecule: ribosomal RNA, 459 nt
Filed under: uncultured bacterium
Lineage: Bacteria
Description: partial 16S ribosomal RNA
Rfam family: Bacterial small subunit ribosomal RNA
Source: RNAcentral